Coffea arabica (coffee) is the source of this 976-nucleotide non-coding RNA. The record is from RefSeq and is a predicted model, not a curated record. NCBI's taxonomy places the organism in Eukaryota, Viridiplantae, Streptophyta, Magnoliopsida, Gentianales, Rubiaceae.
AAUUUCACCCAAAAUUCACUUCAACAUUUGGCAGUGCCCGCUUCUCCCCGAAGUUUCUACAUCAGCGGCGGCCAAUUCAACGGCGUCAACAGCGGCUGUAAUUGGAGGAGGAGCUGGAAAAUGUCAGGCGUCACUACUCAAGAGGAAGAUAAGAAGCCCUCUGAGCAACACAUUAACCUCAAAGUCAAGGGACAGGAUGGGAGCGAGGUGUUCUUCAGGAUAAAGAGGAGCACACAGCUGAAGAAGCUCAUUAAUGCUUACUGCGAGAGACAAUCUGUGGAACUGGGCUCCAUGGUAUUCUUGUUUGAUGGCCAACGCCUCCAAGGGGAGCAGACUCCUGAGCAGGUGAGUAUGGAAGAUGGUGAUGAGAUUGAUGCUAUGCUGCACCAGACUGGAGGUGCCUUUGCCUAAGCGUUGAUAUGAUGGGGAAUCUGGAAGGCUUGAUGAUAUUGUAAAUUUGUAAUAUUAAAAAGGAUGAGGGCAGAUGCAUAUUUCCGUCAGCAAGCUUCUCCGGAAGCUAGCUAUUAGAUCAAAAGCAAAGGUGUUGUUGGUACAAUUUCAAUGGUUACCGGAUUCUGGGAGACUGAGCGACCUAAACUAACUGCUUGCAGUCCUGGGAAGGAGAUGUAAAUUGAGCGACCUAAUGUCCUAUUGCAAGAUGUAAAUUGAGCAUCAUAUCAUAGGUUGUCAUCAUAGAUUUGUUGGAAUGAAGACGUCUGACCACACUAGUCAUGGUAAUUGGAAUGAAGCCCUGUUCUGUUCUGUAAAGUACAGAACGAGACAAUUUAUUAGAGGAGAAUGGUUUCUAGGUCAAUAAUUCUGAAGGCUCAAAAAAGUCCUUCGCAGCUAUUGUGAUUCGGGUGGGGGUUACAUUGCAGACUUCUAGGAUAAGCAUUUUCUUGAGCAGUAACGACUCUGCUUCGUACCGGCUUCAUUGUAUCAAUGGAAUGUAGUUGCUGGGAACACCAUUUGCAUA